UACAGAGGGUGCAAGCGUUGUUCGGAAUCAUUGGGCGUAAAGGGCGUGUAGGCGGUCUGUUAAGUCAGCUGUGAAAGCCCCGGGCUCAACCUGGGAACUGCGGUUGAAACUGGCGAACUAGAAUCUGGCAGAGGGGGGUGGAAUUCCACGUGUAGCAGUGAAAUGCGUAGAGAUGUGGAGGAACACCGAUGGCGAAGGCAGCCCCCUGGGCUGAGAUUGACGCUCAGGCACGAAAGCGUGGGGAGCAAACAGG
This 253-nucleotide ribosomal RNA is filed under the name uncultured prokaryote. Its description in RNAcentral is "partial 16S ribosomal RNA". It matches the Rfam family "Bacterial small subunit ribosomal RNA", at positions 524 to 776 of the family's 1533-position model. The record is from RNAcentral.